Leptopilina boulardi is the source of this 3461-nucleotide RNA transcript. It is a transcript of the gene named exonuclease mut-7 homolog, with no coding region annotated. The record is from RefSeq and is a predicted model, not a curated record. The transcript is spliced from 15 exons. Lineage: Eukaryota; Metazoa; Arthropoda; Insecta; Hymenoptera; Figitidae.
UUCACCUUUAUCUAUUUCAUUAAAAUUGUUGUUUUACAAAACAUUGUAUUUUUAAGAAAAAAAAUCAAAUAUCUUGAGAUCCUAAUUCAUUCAAAUAGAAAGAAAUGAAAAGGUUUAUUUGUGAUUUGACAAAUUAUAUUUAAAUUGCAAUAUGUCCACGUCCAUGAAAAGUCAAAACUAUAAUACAUUUUGGUCUUUCAUAAACUCGGAUUUCUCAUAAAUUGAAAAUUAGUGUAUAUAUUGCACUUUGGAUUAAUUUACUUUUAGACAAGAAAGAGAGUUAUUUUUACUAGGAUUAUAAAAUGGAUCAAACUUUAUCUAAUGAAUUUCUUGCUGGAAAUAAUGGUAUCUCUAUUAUUCGACGAGAAGAUGAUGAGCUUAUCAUAUUUAGCUCAAUUGAUGAGGCAACAAAAUCCUGGCUAAAUUCUUUACACUACAUAUGGAAUUUAUGGAAAAAAAGUCAAGGAGUCACUAAAACUUUGACCGAUUAUUUUGAAACUGCUCCAAAUCCUUAUCUCAGUACUUUACGAAUAUUAGUCAAUACUAAUGAUUUCUCACACUCAAAAACAAAAUCAUCCCUCUCUUUUACAAUUAUGGAGGAUUUUUCAAAGUGGAUAGCUCCUCAGAAGGAUAAUUAUAAAGAAUGUUUGGAAGUGGAUUUAAAAUUAGCUGCUUUUAAAUUAGUUUCAAAACAAAAGAAUAUGCAGCUUGUUAAAAUAGUUGCAGAAACUUAUGAAUUUACUACUUGCAAUGAAUUAUUUUACCAAAUAAUAGAGGCCAUGAUAUGUGAUAAAAAAUACAAGGAAGCGGCUCAAUAUGCUGAAAUGCUAAAUUUACAGCCUUUCUUUGCAGAACCUGAAGUACUCUUACUUCCACUUAUUUUACAAAAUAAAGUUACAGUUGUUGAAGAUUUUUUAACAAAUCAGCCAGAAAUUCAAAAAAAUUUAGUUCAAUAUUUGGAUGGUCUUUUGGCACCAGGAAAAAAUAUACAAGUUACAUUGGAUCGUUUCAUCGAAAAGAAUAACAUAUCCGAUGUGAAAAUGUCCACUGCACAAUUUAGACCAAUGUCUAAAUUAGUUGCUCGUCUUGCUAAACUUUAUAAACUUCCACCUGAAAUUUGUCCCUAUUUGAAUCAAAAGCGUGGUGAAGGGGCUUUACAAUUUUUAAUUUACAAACGAUUUGUGGAAGGCAGCCUAAGUGCUGAGAGUUGGAGAGAAAUGGCUAGAGAAGCUGUUGGCAAUGAUGAACGAUUACAUAUUGAAUUAGUUAAAAAUUUGUCAUUUACAAAUGUUCAAGAAUCUCUUUAUUUUGCAAAAUUGUUAAAUGUUCCUGAAAGUGAAUGGCCCUGGUCUGUUCAACAGUUAGAUAAAGAAAAUCCAAAUGAUGAAGGUGCAAGUAGUAUACCACAAGAAAAUUGGGAUGCUGACGCUUGUGAUAAUUAUUAUACUUUAAAAUUGCCAAGAGAAAAUAUUAAAUUAGUUAGCGAUAAACGAUCUUUUGAAGAAUUUCUUGAUGAAAUAAUGAAAGGAACAAAUCUUGUUGGUAUUGAUUCUGAAUGGAAGCCAAGUUUUGGAACUAAAAAGUCAGAAUUGGCUUUAAUUCAAAUUGCAACAGAGACAAAUGUCUAUAUUUUAGACACAAUAAAUUUGGGAAGUGAAUUUAAAGAGCUUUGGUCUGAAUUAGGAUUAGUGCUAUUUGAAAAUAAAAAUAUAUUAAAAUUAGGCUUUGGAUUGGCGAAUGAUAUUGCAAUGAUGCGUGAAAGUUUACCGGCAUUAUCAAAUGUGAGAGCUUGUGGACAAGGUUAUAUGGAUCUUCUUCAUGUUUGGAGGAAAUUGGUCAAUGAAUAUGAUUUUCAAUUUCCCUAUGCUGGUGAUCCAAAUUUUUCAAAUGAAAGCCUCAGUAAAUUGGUGGAACUUUCUUUGGGUCAUAGAUUGAAUAAAUCUGAUCAAUUUUCCAAUUGGGAGAGAAGACCAUUGAGAGAAAGUCAAAUUAUUUAUGCUGCUUUGGAUGCGUAUUGCUUAUUAGAAGUUUAUGAUGCACUUGCAAAGCAAUGCGCGCAAAUGGAUAUUGAAUUUCACGAAAUAUCAGCACAAGUUCAACACAUUCCGCACAAGUCUCCAAAGAAAGCUGUUGUUAAAAAAACCACUUCAAGUCGAAAUGAAGUCAGUGAUAAAAUUGAAGCUGUCAGUCUUCCAGUGCAAGCGCCUCGAAUGCAACAAGCAAGAUGUGGCGUGAUUAAAGCUCAUCGAGUUGUUAAUGAUGUAGAACCUGAAGUUAAAAAUCUACCUGUAGCCGCUCAUCAAUGGCGUGUUGUUUGUGAUUCAAUGUUGGGAGCAUUGGCAAAACAGCUACGAAUGUGUGGUUGUAAUUGUGUUUACAUUGAAAAUGAUCGAGGUGGUGAUCAAUCGAUUAAAGUCGCUUUAAGCGAAAAUCGAGUUUUACUUACUCGAAACAGUUGUUAUGAAAGAUUUGCUCAACAUAUACCAACUGGUUCUUGCUACAGAGUUCUAACUGAUAAACCUGAAGAGCAACUUAAAGAAGUAUUAAAUUAUUUUAAUAUAAUAGUGACUGAGAGAGAUAUAUUUAGCCGUUGUCAAGUAUGCAAUCAAGAUGAAUUUGUUCGUGUAAUUGAUACAACAAUGAAUACACUCGUCGACAGUUUUACGAAAAUGAUGCGAGGUCGUAAUUAUCGAAAACCAGGUCCUUCAGUUGUUAAUAAUCAAUUUGAUGGUGAAUAUGAAGAUGUUUCUUAUGUUCAAGAGAAUUUCGAAUCUGGAGGAAAAUUACGUCAAUCUAAACAUGAUCGUACUUGGCGAUUAAGCGAAAAUACAUUGGAUCUAACACAAUGUCGAACAAAAUAUGGAAUUUUAAUUAAAAUCGACAAGGUGCCAUCGAAAGUUUUCAAAAAUGUAAAUUGCUUUUACAUUUGUGAAAGUUGUGGUAAAGUUUAUUGGGAUGGCUCGCAUAUGGAACGUGCUCUUAAUGGAGUAUUAAAAGAUGUCAUUGUUCAUAAAUGAUUGACAAAAAAAAUGUUUUUGUUAACAUAUUAAAAAUACGAAAUUGUGUUCAAAACUGAAAAAGGUGAUUUCUAUAUAGAUUAAAGUGUUGGAAGCAGAAUAUUAUUAAUUUCGGGAGUGUACGUGUUUUUUUAAAUCGGCGAUUAAGAUUCAUGUAGGGUAUUUUUUUUUUCUAGAAGUAUAUUCUUUAAUGUCGGGAGUUUUCGAAAUAUUUAAAACCGCGAUCGCAUUGUAAUUAUAUAAAUUGUUGUUUUAUUUAUAAUUUUGACAAGUGAUUCGGGAGUGUACGUAAUAUUUUAUAAUCGCGAGUGAAUAUUUAUGCAGAUGACAACGUACGAUUGCAGCUCCAUCAGGAUUGAGGUCGGAUAUAUAGGCGCGGAUGCUGUUCAAGAUGGAUGUUUUAUUCUUCAGGAGAAAGUGCAUACUAUGGAAAACUAUAAACAC